AUGUGGAGGAUGGGUGCAGGGCUGGGGCCAUCGUCCAGGCAAGAGGGGACAGGGUCUGGGUCAGGAGAACCUGGCAAUGUAAGGGGUGAUGAUGGAGAGAAAAAAUCAAGGGAACCCCCAAGUUUGGGGUGUGGAGGGAAGAACUUUGUGACAUCCAGGUGGCAAUGGAGCUGUGGACCUGGAACCUAGGAGACACUGAUGUCACUGUUGUCCCCCAGAAGAGAGGCAUGAAAAAGACUGGGACAAGUGGCCAGAGUUGGGGGAAGACAACCAGGAGGGGGCGGGCACGAGGAGAGAGGCCUUAGGAGGGGGCCCACGCAAGCAGGGGCAGGUGGAGGAAGAGGCCUGGGGGGUUGACAGGAGGCAGAUGAGUUGUCUGGAAGCCACCACCUCUCAAGGAAGGCGAUGCCAGCAGCCCACAGAGCCCACCCAGGCGGACCCGAAGUGGCUGUCACCAAGAGAAGUGCCCAAGGCUUGCGUCUGGAACAUGUGAGUUCGAGAAGCCUGGAGAUCACCCAAGGGAACUCACCUGGGGACAGCUGGGCCCAGGAGCCUGGGGUGGAGACCUCGUGUCACAGGCCAGUGUAUGAGCAUCAGAGUGACGUCAGCCAGGCAGUGGGCUAGAAGGUCCCAACACUCAUCCCUUCCCCAAAACAACAAAACAAUGAAUAAACAACAUGCUCAGAGAAAUGGGACAGCGGUGUGCUGAGGACCACCAGCUCCUGCUCCUACAAGUCUUCAGGCAACGUGAGAAGUGACAAGCACUGACCCGAACUAUGAGGGCACAAAAGACGCUUCAGAGACCAAGCAAGGGCCUUCACUGUGGUUCCCUUGAGGUCCUUGAAGUUCUGGCUGGGUUGAGCAUGCAUCAGAGACGCCACCUGCCAGCAGCCCCAGCCCAAGAGCCCCCAGAUGGACCUCCUUGCCCUGCCUGUGUACACGUGGGGGUUUGUGCUGAGCUCCGAGGGAAUGUCUGCCAUUCACUGUAGCACAAGCUUGACCACAGCCAGCCAGGGAGCAGGGCCAGGAGCAGACCCAUCCUCAGAUGCCAGGGAGCUGGCCUUAGCACCAGCCAUCUGCGACACCUCCCUCUGGCAGCCCUGCAGCUUCUGCUUGGUUCCCUCUAGUGACAGGACCCUCACCUCUUCAGGAAGCCAGUCUCAAGCUGCUUGCCCUGUGAUUCGGGUAAUGACUCAGGGGAAUUCAGCGCUGCCGCAGACACAGCCAGGCAGCCAGUGGAGCUGCUGGCACCCCAGCCCUCCCUGCCGCACCUUAUUCUGCGCUCAUAUCCUCCUGCUGGAUCUCAACCUCUCCUCCACUGCAGGCAGGAGGCCAGGCUCAUGCACCGCUGGCCUGGGAGCCCCAGAAAGGCCAGGUGCACACCUCGGACGGCUGCCUCCCCUCCCCUCCCCAUGCAAUCUUCCGCACUCACGCUCGUUCAGGCUCUAGGCUUCUGAACUCAGCCAGCCCGAGCCCCAUCCUACUUUGCCACUACACUAUCGUGCCACCACCAGGGAGCCACGGCCUCAGUUUCCCGGGCUGUAACAUGGGGACAAUCUCCUCAGACUUCCAGAACUGCUGUAAGGAUAAAAUGAGGUCCUUGGUGCCAAUGGGUGUGACCUGUGGUACAAAGGAGAAAGCUAACGGGACCUGGUGACAACACCCGCUCCCUACUUGCUCCCAGCCCCUCCCUCAACAUCCUGGCUCCACCCCUUCCAGGCACUGAGGCUCAAAUGCUAUUACUAGUAGCCAGAAUCUGACAUAUGAGAAUAAGAGGAGACACUGCAGGGGGCCCCUUGGCUGGGGUGCCAGUGCAGAUUCUGCGGAGCAACCGUCCCCCUAGCCCAGGCCCAGCCUAGUUCAGGGCCCCCAACCCCACUCCGGCGCUCCAAGCUCCGAAGUCCCCACUCAGUAGCACCAUUGGGGACCGGGAAGCGCAGGGCGCGUCGUGCAGGACGGGCGGAGAGGGCAGAAGCUUGCAGGUGGGAGGAAGGCGGGCGGGGGCGUGGGAGGUGGAGGGAGACGCCGGGAAGGCCGCGGCCCCUCCCCGCUCCCUCCCUGCGCGCCGCCAGCUACAUUGCCCCUCCUGGGC
Molecule: long non-coding RNA, 2092 nt
Organism: Callithrix jacchus (white-tufted-ear marmoset)
Lineage: Eukaryota; Metazoa; Chordata; Mammalia; Primates; Cebidae
Source: Ensembl